ACUUUUGGUCCCUGCCAAAAGCCACCCAUUUUAGUAAUUCCACAGUCUCACAACUUCCUGGUGGCUCUCUCAUCUUGCUAAGGAACCCCUCUUACAAGACAUUCCCCUGCUUUAUCAGAAUUCACCUUCUGAGCAGGGAGCACUCUUCACUCUUCGUCCGCCAACCUAAACCAAGCAAGCUGAGAACAAGGCUCCCAUCAAUCCCCAGCCCCUCCCUUCUCUGGCUUGCAAGCUGCCAGCUCCCAAAGCCUCCAACAAGGAUGACACCUCAUUUCCAAAAUAACAAAUUAAAUGACU
Molecule: long non-coding RNA, 297 nt
Filed under: Homo sapiens (human)
Lineage: Eukaryota; Metazoa; Chordata; Mammalia; Primates; Hominidae
Description: non-protein coding lnc-SKA2-7:1
Source: RNAcentral